Molecule: non-coding RNA, 105 nt
Organism: Acanthosepion pharaonis
Lineage: Eukaryota; Metazoa; Mollusca; Cephalopoda; Sepiida; Sepiidae
Source: the annotation of a GenBank genome assembly
UUACGGUCAUAUCAUAUUGAAACACCGCUUCGUGUACGAUCUCCGAAGUUAAGCAACGUCUAGCCCGGUCAGUACCUAGAUUGGUGACCGCUUGCCAGGUGCUGC